This 400-nucleotide ribosomal RNA is filed under the name phytoplankton environmental sample. RNAcentral describes it as "partial small subunit ribosomal RNA". It matches the Rfam family "Eukaryotic small subunit ribosomal RNA", at positions 587 to 988 of the family's 1831-position model. The record is from RNAcentral.
AGCUCCAAUAGCGUAUAUUAAAGUUGUUGCAGUUAAAAAGCUCGUAGUUGGAUUUCUGGUAGGAGCGACCGUGCCGGGCUUGAUUGUUCGUGUAUUGUGUUGUCUCCAGCCAUCCUUGUGGAGAACUUUUCUUGCAUUAGUUUGUAGGGAUUGGGACCCGCAUCGUUUACUGUGAAAAAAUUAGAGUGUUUAAAGCAGGCAAUCGCUUGAAUACAUUAGCAUGGAAUAAUAAGAUAGGACUUUGGUAAUAUUUUGUUGGUUUGCAUACCAAAUUAAUGAUCAACAGGAACAGUUUGAGGAUAUUCGUAUGAACAUGUCAGAGGUGAAAUUCUUGGAUUUUGAUCAGACGAACUACUGCGAAAGCAUUUAUCAAGGAUGUUUUCAUUAAUCAAGAACGAAA